This 677-nucleotide small RNA is filed under the name Pongo abelii (Sumatran orangutan). RNAcentral describes it as "retained intron". Lineage: Eukaryota; Metazoa; Chordata; Mammalia; Primates; Hominidae. The record is from RNAcentral.
CUGCCGCCGAGGCAGGCUAAACACAGAAUGGGGAAGAAUCCUGUGCGUCCUCCACGAGCCCUUCCACCUGUGCCAAGUCAAGAUGAUAUUCCACUUAGUCGUCCUAAGAAAAAGAAGCCGAGAACAAAAAACACACCAGGUAAGACAUUAUUCUUUGUUGUGUGGGAUCACAAGUUUUCCUAGGACCUCAGGUCUAGUAAACAUCACAGAUAAGGGAGAAGUAAGGCCCCAGCAGCCCCGAAUCUCCACUUCAUUAAGGAUAGAAUUAAGGCCAGUUUGAAGCAGUGGAAUUCCUGGUGGUGGUGAGGUGCAGGGCAGUGGGCAGCCUGAGGAGUAUCUGGACGCGUUCAUGGAAUAGAAGGUGGUGCCAUCUAAGCUCCUAUUUCCAUGAUAUUCCUGGACUCUUUAAGGUCUUUUAUCCCCAGACAACAUACACGGUUUUAAGCUAUGAUUGAUUCCAGACCCUUGAACAAGAUACUGAAUUUAGAAACACAGGGUUCUUAAGUCUCACUUCAGUCAGAAUAUCUCUACAUUAGAGCAUGAGUCUGAAGGCAUGGCCACAUCAUCAUUUAAAUAGUAAAGCUUCAGUCGUGAGCAGAACUCGUUUUUGUCUUAGUCGUCCACUAAUAAUCCUGGAAGUUGCAUCCGUAACUCUAAACUCAGCACAUCUAGAAUCC